RNAcentral lists this ribosomal RNA (632 nucleotides) under uncultured cyanobacterium. RNAcentral describes it as "bacterial SSU rRNA". It matches the Rfam family "Bacterial small subunit ribosomal RNA", at positions 126 to 795 of the family's 1533-position model. The record is from RNAcentral. Lineage: Bacteria; Bacillati; Cyanobacteriota.
GCCUCCUUAGGAGGGAAAACAAUUGGAAAUUUGCUAAUAUCCCAUAAGCUGAAAAGUAAAAUAUUUUUUGCCUAAAGAUGAGCUUGCGCCUGAUUAGCUGGUUGGUGAGGUAAUGGCUUACCAAGGCCACGAUCAGUAGCUGGUUUGAGAGGAUGAUCAGCCACAUUGGAACUGAGACACGGUCCAGACUUUUACGGAAGGCAGCAGUGGGGAAUUUUCCGCAAUGGGCGCAAGCCUGACGGAGCAAUACCGCGUGAAGGAUGAAUGCCUGUGGGUUGUAAACUUCUUUUAUUAGGGAAGAAAAAAAUGACGGUACCUAAUGAAUAAGCAUCGGCUAACUCCGUGCCAGCAGCCGCGGUAAUACGGGGGAUGCAAGCGUUAUCCGGAAUCAUUGGGCGUAAAGAGUCUGAAGGUUGUUUAGUAAGUCUGCUGUUAAAUGUUAGAGCUUAACUCUAAAAAAGCAGUGGAAACUACUAAACUAGAGUGUGGUAGAGGCAAAGGGAAUUCCCAGUGUAGCGGUGAAAUGCGUAGAUAUUGGGAAGAACACCAGAAGCGAAAGCGCUUUGCUGGGCCAUCACUGACACUAAGAGACGAAAGCUAGGGGAGCAAAGGGAUUAGAUACCCCAGUAGUC